UACGGAGGGGACUAGCGUUGUUCGGAAUUACUGGGCGUAAAGAGUACGUAGGCUGUGUUACAAGUUGGGUGUGAAAGCCCGGGGCUCAACCCCGGAACUGCACUCAAAACUGUAACGCUAGAGAUCGGAAGAGGUAAGUGGAAUUCCCAGUGUAGAGGUGAAAUUCGUAGAUAUUGGGAAGAACACCAGUGGCGAAGGCG
Molecule: ribosomal RNA, 200 nt
Filed under: uncultured bacterium
Lineage: Bacteria
Description: partial 16S ribosomal RNA
Rfam family: Bacterial small subunit ribosomal RNA
Source: RNAcentral